GAUGAACGCUGGCGGCGUGCCUAAUACAUGCAAGUCGAGCGAACAGACGAGGAGCUUGCUCCUCUGACGUUAGCGGCGGACGGGUGAGUAACACGUGGAUAACCUACCUAUAAGACUGGGAUAACGUCGGGAAACCGGAGCUAAUACCGGAUAAUAUAUUGAACCGCAUGGUUCAAUAGUGAAAGACGGUUUUGCUGUCACUUAUAGAUGUAUCCGCGCCGCAUUAGCUAGUUGGUAAGGUAACGGCUUACCAAGGCGACGAUGCGUAGCCGACCUGAGAGGAUGAUCGGCCACACUGGAACUGAGACACGGUCCAGACUCCUACGGGAGGCAGCAGUAGGGAAUCUUCCGCAAUGGGCGAAAGCCUGACGGAGCAACGCCGCGUGAGUGAUGAAGGUCUUCGGAUCGUAAAGCUCUGUUAUUAGGGAAGAACAAAUGUGUAAGUAACUAUGCACGUCUUGACGGUACCUAAACAAAAAGCCCCGGCUAACUACGUG
This 497-nucleotide ribosomal RNA is filed under the name uncultured bacterium. RNAcentral's name for it is "partial 16S ribosomal RNA". It matches the Rfam family "Bacterial small subunit ribosomal RNA", at positions 28 to 507 of the family's 1533-position model. The record is from RNAcentral.